AAAUAAAGCCAUUGCGACACCCAUUCAAAGAGUCGUUCCCCAUCCAGGGGCUACCUUACCAUAUUCCGAAUUCAAUGGUUUCAAAAAAUCCCCUACAACAGUUCGUCUUGGACCAGAUCUAGAACUACCCUCAACGGUUUGUGUAGCCAUAAAUCUUAUUUUGUAUUCAGUGAGAUCUGUUGACUUUGUAUAUCAUUCCGCUGUAAAUAAACAAUCUUAUCAUAGACCCAUUGUGAUCUUGAAAUUAUAUAAUAAUGGAAACAGCAACCUUAGUCGCCAUCUCUAUAUCUGGUUUACUUGUAAGUUUUACUGGGUACGCCUUAUAUACUGCUUUUGGGCAACCCUCUCAACAAUUAAGAGAUCCAUUCGAGGAACACGGGGACUAAUUGAAAUAAUGAAAAAUCAUUUCAUUUUUUUAGUUAGAAUUUUAGG
Molecule: long non-coding RNA, 432 nt
Organism: Gossypium raimondii (Peruvian cotton)
Lineage: Eukaryota; Viridiplantae; Streptophyta; Magnoliopsida; Malvales; Malvaceae
Exons: 2
Source: RefSeq, a predicted model, not a curated record